This 497-nucleotide ribosomal RNA is filed under the name uncultured bacterium. RNAcentral's name for it is "partial 16S ribosomal RNA". It matches the Rfam family "Bacterial small subunit ribosomal RNA", at positions 28 to 507 of the family's 1533-position model. The record is from RNAcentral.
GAUGAACGCUGGCGGCGUGCCUAAUACAUGCAAGUCGAGCGAACAGACGAGGAGCUUGCUCCUCUGACGUUAGCGGCGGACGGGUGAGUAACACGUGGAUAACCUACCUAUAAGACUGGGAUAACUUCGGGAAACCGGAGCUAAUACCGGAUAAUAUAUUGAACCGCAUGGUUCAAUAGUGAAAGACGGUUUUGCUGUCACUUAUAGAUGGAUCCGCGCCGCAUUGGCUAGUUGGUAAGGUAACGGCUUACCAAGGCAACGAUGCGUAGCCGACCUGAGAGGGUGAUCGGCCACACUGGAACUGAGACACGGUCCAGACUCCUACGGGAGGCAGCAGUAGGGAAUCUUCCGCAAAGGGCGAAAGCCUGACGGAGCAACGCCGCGUGAGUGAUGAAGGUCUUUGGAUCGUAAAACUCUGUUAUUAGGGAAGAACAAAUGUGUAAGUAACUAUGCACGUCUUGACGGUACCUAAUCAGAAAGCCACGGCUAACUACGUG